UGGGUGUGGAUUCCUCACUGGAGAGGUGGG
RNAcentral lists this non-coding RNA (30 nucleotides) under Mus musculus (house mouse). The record is from RNAcentral. Lineage: Eukaryota; Metazoa; Chordata; Mammalia; Rodentia; Muridae.